Molecule: long non-coding RNA, 227 nt
Filed under: Athene cunicularia (burrowing owl)
Lineage: Eukaryota; Metazoa; Chordata; Aves; Strigiformes; Strigidae
Description: lncRNA (ENSACUG00000006477.1)
Source: RNAcentral
CUAUUCUGUACUGAAUCAGCAUGGGAUAGAGUGCCUAGAAGACGUUCAGACCAAGCACAGCUAGCGCGUCCCUGCUGGUUCUCCAUUCUGCAUCCGUGCAGCCACGUUCUAUUGAUGGCCUGUUGUGAUUUCAAUGGAACAUCAUGGGAUGUACCUGGCACGUCGGGCAGCACUGGAUGGAGGUGCCUUUAGCCCAAUGUACCUGGCAUGGUGGUAAAGGUGAAGGU